This 264-nucleotide unclassified non-coding RNA is filed under the name Hevea brasiliensis (rubber tree). Lineage: Eukaryota; Viridiplantae; Streptophyta; Magnoliopsida; Malpighiales; Euphorbiaceae. The record is from RNAcentral.
AAAUCAUGGGGCAAAUCAAAUAUGUCAAGUACUCACUAGGAGCACAAGGUUGAAUUCUAUUAUAACAAAAAUAUGGAAUAAAACAGGAAAGCAAAAUUCAAAAUUCAAAACACAAGGCACUUCCAUUAAAGUGUUUCAUGAAAUUCUAAAUUCUCCUCAAAAUUCUAAACAGGAAAACUAAUUUAGAUGAUCCCGAUUUUGUUGGCCACAUCCAAAGCGUCAUAGUCUGGAGUCAACCUCACAUAUGCCUUCUUAGUUCCAUCA